RNAcentral lists this ribosomal RNA (399 nucleotides) under uncultured bacterium. RNAcentral describes it as "bacterial SSU rRNA". It matches the Rfam family "Bacterial small subunit ribosomal RNA", at positions 114 to 507 of the family's 1533-position model. The record is from RNAcentral.
UACAUGGGUAACCUACCCUUGAGAAGGGAAUAACCCGCCGAAAGGUGAGCUAAUACCCUUAUACGCUAUCUUUUUUCGAAAAGGAUAGGAAAGCCGGGUCGAGGACCUGGUACUCAAGGAGGGGCUCAUGUCCUAUCAGCUUGUUGGUGGGGUAACGGCCUACCAAGGCUACGACGGGUAGCUGGUCUGAGAGGAUGAUCAGCCACACUGGCACUGAGAUACGGGCCAGACUCCUACGGGAGGCAGCAGUGAGGAAUAUUGCGCAAGUGGGCGAAAGCCUGACGCAGCGACGCCGCGUGGGGAUGAAGGUUUUCGGAUUGUAAACCCCUUUCAUGAGGAAAGAUAAAGUGGGUAACCACUUAGACGGUACCUCAAGAAGAAGCCACGGCUAACUUCGUG